GUCUUUUGCAGUAGGCGGUGACCUUUUAU
Molecule: non-coding RNA, 29 nt
Filed under: Mus musculus (house mouse)
Lineage: Eukaryota; Metazoa; Chordata; Mammalia; Rodentia; Muridae
Source: RNAcentral